Ovis aries (sheep) is the source of this 72-nucleotide transfer RNA. It matches the Rfam family "tRNA". Rfam says of the family: Transfer RNA (tRNA) molecules are approximately 80 nucleotides in length. Their secondary structure includes four short double-helical elements and three loops (D, anti-codon, and T loops). Lineage: Eukaryota; Metazoa; Chordata; Mammalia; Artiodactyla; Bovidae. The record is from Rfam.
UCCCUGGUGGCUCAGAGGUUAAAGCGUCUGCCUGCAAAGCGGGAGACCUGGGUUCGAUCCCUGGGUUGGGAA